ACGUUUCUUUAUCACGUCGGCCAUUUGUCCGGCCAGAGCCUGAGAAAGGCUACCAUAUCCAAAAUGGCAGCAGGCGCGCAAAUGGAACCAACCUCAACAUGAGGAUUAGUGACAAGUAGCAAUAUAGGGCGUUUAAGGUCUUGUAUUUGGAAUGAGUGCAAAUGGGAUUCCUUAACGAGCAACAGUUGGAGGGCAAGAUUGGUCCCAGCAGCUGCCAUAACCCCAGCUCCAAUAGUGU
This 238-nucleotide non-coding RNA is filed under the name Tilletiaria anomala UBC 951. Its description in RNAcentral is "Eukaryotic small subunit ribosomal RNA". It matches the Rfam family "Eukaryotic small subunit ribosomal RNA", at positions 69 to 600 of the family's 1831-position model. Lineage: Eukaryota; Fungi; Basidiomycota; Exobasidiomycetes; Georgefischeriales; Tilletiariaceae. The record is from Rfam by way of RNAcentral.